RNAcentral lists this unclassified non-coding RNA (1557 nucleotides) under uncultured fungus. Its description in RNAcentral is "sequence contains 18S rRNA gene, ITS1, 5.8S rRNA gene, ITS2, 28S rRNA gene". The stretch from base 586 to 1557 matches the Rfam family "Eukaryotic large subunit ribosomal RNA", at positions 1 to 961 of the family's 3401-position model. Lineage: Eukaryota; Fungi. The record is from RNAcentral.
GGAAGGAUCAUUAUUGAAUAAACUUGAACAGGCUGUUGCUAGCUUCUUGCAUGUGCACGCUUGUCAUUUUUAUAUCUCCUCAUGUGCACAUAUUGUAGACCUGGAGUUUUUAUUAUUCGUAUUAGAUUGGGGACUGCUGUGCCUUUUAACAAAGGAUCAGCUUUGCCUUAUUUUUUCAGGUCUAUGCUAUUUCACAAAAUAUGGAAUAUGUUUAGAAUGUUGUAGAUUAGGUCUUUUGUACCUAUAAAUCAAAUAUACAACUUUCAGCAACGGAUCUCUUGGCUCUCGCAUCGAUGAAGAACGCAGCGAAAUGCGAUAAGUAAUGUGAAUUGCAGAAUUCAGUGAAUCAUCGAAUCUUUGAACGCAUCUUGCGCUCCUUGGUAUUCUGAGGAGCAUGCCUGUUUGAGUGUCAUUAAAUUCUCAACUACACUUUGUGUAGCUUGGAUAUGGGGGGUUUUGUAGGCUUUUUUCUAGUCUGCUCCUCUGAAAUGCAUUAGUGGUGUCUGAGCAGAAAUUACUACAGGUGUGAUAAAUUAUCUAUGCCUUGGUUUUGUACUGCGUGCUGCUUCUAAACAAAGUUGCCUUUGACCUCAAAUCAGGUAGGAUUACCCGCUGAACUUAAGCAUAUCAAUAAGCGGAGGAAAAGAAACUAACAAGGAUUCCCUUAGUAACUGCGAGUGAAGCGGGAAGAGCUCAAAUUUGAAAUCUGGCGGUUUUUAACUGUCCGAGUUGUAAUCUAGAGAAGUGUUACCUGUGCUGGACCAUGUUCAAGUCUCCUGGAAUGGAGCAUCAUAGAGGGUGAGAAUCCCGUCUUUGACAUGGACUACUAGUGCAUUGUGGUAUGCUCUCAAAGAGUCGAGUUGUUUGGGAAUGCAGCUCAAAAUGGGUGGUAAAUGCCAUCUAAAGCUAAAUAUUGGCGAGAGACCGAUAGCGAACAAGUACCGUGAGGGAAAGAUGAAAAGAACUUUGGAAAGAGAGUUAAACAGUACGUGAAAUUGCUGAAAGGGAAACGCUUCAAGUCAGUCACGUUGGCUAGAAAUCAGUCUUGCUUUUGCAUGGUGUAUUUUCUGGUUGAUGGGUCAGCAUCAAUUUUGACCAUUGGAUAAAGUCUUUGGGAAUGUAGCAUCUUUGGAUGUGUUAUAGCCUAUUGUCGCAUACAGUGGUUGGGAUUGAGGAACUCAGCACGCCACAAGGCCGGGUUUCGACCACGUUCGUGCUUAGGAUGCUGGCAUAAUGGCUUUAAUCGACCCGUCUUGAAACACGGACCAAGGAGUCUAACAUGCCUGCAAGUGUUUGGGUGGAAAACCCAUGCACGUAAUGAAAGUGAAAGUUGAGAUCCCUUUCAAGGGAGCAUUGACGCCCGGACCAGACCUUUUGUGACGGAUCCGCGGUAGAGCAUGUAUGUUGGGACCCGAAAGAUGGUGAACUAUGCCUGAAUAGGGUGAAGCCAGAGGAAACUCUGGUGGAGGCUCGUAGCGAUUCUGACGUGCAAAUCGAUCGUCAAAUUUGGGUAUAGGGGCGAAAGACUAAUCGAACCAUCUAGUAGCUGGUUCCUGC